GUAUAUAGCCAUGCCACCCUGAAUGCGCCCGAUCUUGUCUGAUCUCAGAAGCUCAGCAGGGUCGGGCCUGGUUAGUACUUGAAUGGGAGAUCAUCUAGGAAUACCAGGUGCUGUAGAUG
Molecule: ribosomal RNA, 119 nt
Filed under: Pteropus alecto (black flying fox)
Lineage: Eukaryota; Metazoa; Chordata; Mammalia; Chiroptera; Pteropodidae
Source: RNAcentral